AUUGGACGCUGGCGGCAUGCUUUACACAUGCAAGUCGAACGGUAACGGGCCGCAAGGUGCUGACGAGUGGCGAACGGGUGAGUAAUGCAUCGGAACGUGCCCAGUCGUGGGGGAUAACUACUCGAAAGAGUAGCUAAUACCGCAUACGAUCUAUGGAUGAAAGCGGGGGACCGUAAGGCCUCGCGCGAUUGGAGCGGCCGAUGUCAGAUUAGGUAGUUGGUGGGGUAAAGGCUCACCAAGCCAACGAUCUGUAGCUGGUCUGAGAGGACGACCGGCCACACUGGGACUGAGACACGGCCCAGACUCCUACGGGAGGCAGCAGUGGGGAAUUUUGGACAAUGGGCGCAAGCCUGAUCCAGCAAUGCCGCGUGCAGGAAGAAGGCCUUCGGGUUGUAAACUGCUUUUGUACGGAACGAAACGGCUCUGGUUAAUACCCGGGGCUAAUGACGGUACCGUAAGAAUAAGCACCGGCUAACUACGUG
RNAcentral lists this ribosomal RNA (482 nucleotides) under uncultured bacterium. RNAcentral's name for it is "partial 16S ribosomal RNA". It matches the Rfam family "Bacterial small subunit ribosomal RNA", at positions 30 to 507 of the family's 1533-position model. The record is from RNAcentral.